CUGUAAGCCGAUGAAGGUGUGUUGAGAAGUAUGCUGGAGGUCUCAGGAGUGCGUAUGCUGACGUGAGUAACGACACCACGGGUGAAAAACCCGUUCGCCGAAAGACCAAGGGUUCCAGUCCAACGUUAAUCGGGGCUGGGUGAGUCGACCCCUAAGGCGAGGCCGAAAGGCGUAGUCGAUGGGAAAAUGGUUAAUAUUCCAUUACUUCUGUGUAAUGCGAUGAGAGGACGGAGAAGGCUAAAUCAGCCUGGCGUUGGUUGUCCAGGUGAAAGGAUGUAGGCAUGUAUCUUAGGCAAAUCCGGGGUACUCUAUG
The sequence is a ribosomal RNA, 313 nucleotides long. It matches the Rfam family "Bacterial large subunit ribosomal RNA", at positions 1241 to 1555 of the family's 2925-position model.